CACAUCAUAUACAGCACAAUCAAAUAACAAAUGCAGUAAACACCUGGAGUUCUAAACAAAUGCAAAGAGCAUAAAUUAUUAUUAAUACAAAAAAAAAAUAUUUGCAUAAGAUAUGACAAGGUAGACUCAUUUUCUGGUAUAUUCAAAUGUCAAGACUUGGAUUCUUGACACGGACAUAAAAAUAUUGGCAUCAAAUGAAAACUACAUCAGCAAUUGUCAAGUCUUGUAUUUUCCACAGUGAACCAAUCAAUCUUUCUUUCAUCAACCUGUCUAGAGAAUAAACAAGAUUGAACCUAAAAUCCCCCUAAAACAUGAAUCCUCAGCUUAUUACUUUUGAAACGACGCCAGCGCCAACCGUUCUACCACCCUCCCUCAAA
This 377-nucleotide long non-coding RNA is filed under the name Nicotiana benthamiana. Its description in RNAcentral is "long non-coding RNA (NBEN_LNC032196)". The record is from RNAcentral. Lineage: Eukaryota; Viridiplantae; Streptophyta; Magnoliopsida; Solanales; Solanaceae.